GACGAACGCUGGCGGCGUGCUUAACACAUGCAAGUCGAACGGAAAGGCCCCUUCGGGGGUACUCGAGUGGCGAACAGGUGAGUAACACGUGAGUAACCUGCCCUUGACUUCGGGAUAACGUCAGGAAACUGGGGCUAAUACCGGAAAGGAAUCCUUGCUGCAUGGGGGGGGUUGGAAAGCUUCGGCGGUUUUGGAUGGAUUCGCGGCUUAUCAGCUUGUUGGUGUGGUAGUGGCUUACCAAGGCUGUGACGGGUAGCCGGCCUGAGAGGGCGACCGGCCACACUGGGACUGAGAUGCGGCCCCGAUUCCUACGGGAGGCAGAAGUGGGGAAUCUUGCCCGAUGGGCGGCGGCCUGAUGCAGCGACGCCGCGUGCGGGAUGACGGCCUUCGGGUUGUAAACCGCUUUCAGCAGGGGCGAAGCUUGUGGUGACGGUACCUGCAGAAGAAGCACCGGCUAACUACGUG
RNAcentral lists this ribosomal RNA (465 nucleotides) under uncultured bacterium. RNAcentral's name for it is "partial 16S ribosomal RNA". It matches the Rfam family "Bacterial small subunit ribosomal RNA", at positions 28 to 507 of the family's 1533-position model. The record is from RNAcentral.